Molecule: long non-coding RNA, 447 nt
Filed under: Dasypus novemcinctus (nine-banded armadillo)
Lineage: Eukaryota; Metazoa; Chordata; Mammalia; Cingulata; Dasypodidae
Description: lncRNA (ENSDNOG00000050677.1)
Source: RNAcentral
ACCUGGGGCUUUAAUGCUCCUAGCCGACCCCGCCGCGCAGGUGAAGGGCAGCGCAGAGCUCUCUGCUUGCGGGCUGGGCUAGGCGGCUGCCCGUGCGCCUGCGCCCUCUGCCGCUCCGCUCCGGGCGCUCCUCUGUGCGCGUGUGUCUGUUGAGAGAGGCGGAGAGGCUUGGGUGACAGGCCAGGGGUGGGGGGAAGAGUUCAGCCAGACUCCCAGUCUCAUUCACUGAAUUCUCCGCGGCUGGACCGAAGCUGCCUCCCCAGGCGGCGCCCACCUACUCCCGCACCUCCACGGUCCUCACCUCCCGCCGCUGCACUCAGCCAGACAGACUGACGCACAGGCGAACGAGUUGGCAGCUUCGCGCCGGAGGGUGUCGGAAGCCGAGGCGGCAAGCACCCGGCACCCCUGGCCCGGCCCGGCGGGAUGCGGCGCGGGUAGCAGCGCGGA